UAGGGAAUCUUCCGCAAUGGGCGAAAGGUGACGGAGCAACGCGCGGGAGUAAUGAAGGUCUUCGGAUCGUAAAACUCUGUUAUUAGGGAAGAACAUAUGUGUAAGUAACUGUGCACAUCUUGACGGUACCUAAUCAGAAAGCCACGGCUAAUUACGUGCCAGCAGCCGCGGUAAUACGUAGGUGGCAAGCGUUAUCCGGAAUUAUUGGGCGUAAAGGGGGCGUAGGGGUUUUUUUAAGUCUGAUGUGAAAGCCCACGGCUCACCCGUGGAGGGUCAUUGGAAACUGGAAAAACUUGAGUGCGGAAGAGGAAAGGGGAAUUCCUUGUUGUAGCGGUGAAAUGCGCAAAGAUAUGAAGGAACACCAGUGGGGAAGGCAACUUUUCUGGCCUGUACUUAACGCUGAUGUCCGAAAAGCNGGGGGAAUCAAACAGGAAUUANAAUACCUUGUUAGUCCAACGGCCGUAAACNAUGGANNGCUAAAGNGUAAGGGGGUUUCCGCCCCCUUAAGUGCUGGCGGCUAAACGGCAUUAAGCACCUCCCGNCCUGGGGAGUACGACCGCANGUUUG
This 567-nucleotide ribosomal RNA is filed under the name uncultured bacterium. RNAcentral describes it as "bacterial SSU rRNA". It matches the Rfam family "Bacterial small subunit ribosomal RNA", at positions 355 to 896 of the family's 1533-position model. The record is from RNAcentral.